UUUGUUGCCUAAUUUCUCUGGCUAUACCUUCCAGUAAAACGUUGAAUACAAGUGGCAAAAGUGGUUGUCCUUGUUUGUUUUGUGAAAAUUAUAAAAGGAAGCUCUUUUAGAAUGGAGUCAGGGGCGAGGGCAGCAGGGGAGGCUCACAGCCUACCACGUGUCCUCAAGUCCAGAUCCGACAGGAAGACGGCGGGCCUCUCACGAGGAUGCCGCUUUCUUUACUACUUUCCUACCGGAGCAAGAGGAAGGAAGGUCCACCCCUCCUCGGCCCCAUCCCCACUGCAGCCCAGCCCCGAAGUCACAGCUCAGCCAAUGAGAAACCACUGCACUUCCCACUUCCAGUUUAUUCCAAUGGACUGUUUGUUUCUGGCAGCCGCUCCCAGCUCCUCCCUUUCCUGCAGGACUCGGUGUGCUUUGCUUUUGUUCUGCAGAACAACAGCUUUCUGCUGUUCCCAAAUAAAGCCGUUUUGCAGGAGACCAGCAUACCUUGACUUUGCCAUUGUGAAGAAACAGAGCCCAGUUAUGGCCAUCUUGACUACUGGAAACGAGGAACUCCUUCACAUACAUGCUGCAUCCAACACUCAAAGCUAUUCUGGCUAGACACAUGUUAAAAUGGAAUUCAUGAAAGCAGAAAACACCAGGAGGAAGAAUGGAACAAGGGACAUUAACUCUGGGCAGACGUGAAAGCCAAUCCUAAAUUUAUAUGGAAAUGCAAGGGACAGAGACAGCCAAAACAAUCCGGAAAAGAAGAACAAAGCUGUGCGAUCCACACGUGCCACUUUCAAAACUUACUUCAAAACUACAGCAAUCGUAAACUGUGGUACUGGCAUAGGGGUAGACAUGUAAGUCAAUGUUUUUGAAUUUACAGUGAGAAAUAAACCCAUAGAUUUAUGAAUAGUUGAUAUUCAACAAGG
This is a long non-coding RNA of Lynx canadensis (Canada lynx), 914 nucleotides long. RefSeq lists it as uncharacterized. Lineage: Eukaryota; Metazoa; Chordata; Mammalia; Carnivora; Felidae. The transcript has 4 exons. The record is from RefSeq and is a predicted model, not a curated record.